CUUUUUCUGGGCAUCCCUCUUUUGUGGAGUUUUCCCUGUAAGCCUAGAUCUUCAGAGAUUGGUCCAACAUCUUGGCAGAUCUGAGAGUGUGGUGAUGUGGAUGAAAGCUAAAUGGUGAUGACCCUGGCAGUGCUGGCUGAGAUAAGAACACGUGGAUCAUCCUGUUCUUGAAGAAGGUCUAGUAGCUAUUGCUAAUUUGAAUGUAUGCAUAUAUAAUGCAAUGGAAAGUACAGUAAUGACAAUGGAGCAGCAAGGUCUCAGGCUGUAGCAAGUGAGGACUUGCACAGACACAACAGCAGUAAGCACACUACUUACUUUCAGAAGGCCUCAAGUAUAGAGGGACCUCCCAGGAAAUACCUUCACCUCCACUA
This is a long non-coding RNA of Tympanuchus pallidicinctus (lesser prairie-chicken), 371 nucleotides long. RefSeq lists it as uncharacterized. NCBI's taxonomy places the organism in Eukaryota, Metazoa, Chordata, Aves, Galliformes, Phasianidae. The record is from RefSeq and is a predicted model, not a curated record. The transcript is spliced from 3 exons.